GGGCCCGCACAAGCGGCGGAGCAUGCGGAUUAAUUCGAUGCAACGCGAAGAACCUUACCUGGGUUUGACAUCACUUGAAAACUCACAGAGAUGUGGGGUCCUUCGGGGCGGGUGACAGGUGGUGCAUGGCUGUCGUCAGCUCGUGUCGUGAGAUGUUGGGUUAAGUCCCGCAACGAGCGCAACCCUCGUUCGAUGUUGCCAGCGGUUCGGCCGGGGACUCAUCGAAGACUGCCGGGGUCAACUCGGAGGAAGGUGGGGAUGACGUCAAGUCUUCAUGCCCCUUAUGUCCAGGGCUUCACGCAUGCUACAAUGGCCGGUACAAAGGGCUGCGAUGCCGUAAGGUGGAGCGAAUCCCAAAAAGCCGGUCUCAGUUCGGAUCGGGGUCUGCAACUCGACCCCGUGAAGUCGGAGUCGCUAGUAAUCGCAGAUCAGCAUUGCUGCGGUGAAUACGUUCCCGGGCCUU
This 463-nucleotide ribosomal RNA is filed under the name uncultured bacterium. Its description in RNAcentral is "bacterial SSU rRNA". It matches the Rfam family "Bacterial small subunit ribosomal RNA", at positions 917 to 1382 of the family's 1533-position model. The record is from RNAcentral.